UUUCCCUUUCCUUUUCUCUCUCCUUCUCCAUAACUGCGCCGCAAGCAACGCCGCUCUCCUUCUCCUUCUCAGUCCAAAAUCGGCGUCAUUAGAACCAAGCACAACCACCUUCGCCGCCGCCGUCAAUUUGAACCAAAUACAACAACAACAAAAAACUUAAAUCAAUUAUAUUCAAAAAUCACAAAUCCGAGGUUAGGGUUUCUUGGAUUUGAAAUCUAGGUUUUAUGAUUUUUUUUUUUAUUAACAUUGAUUAUAUGAACAAUUGAAAUUUUGAUUGAAUUUAAUGGUGAGAAUGUGAGAUGAUAGGAUUUCUGAUUUUAUUUAUUUUUUUGUAAUUAUGGUGACGGUGGUCGGUGCUAGUGGUGGUGGUUUCGUGGGUGUGGUGGUUGCGACUAUGGUGGUUCGUUGCUUACUCCAGCACAAAGUCUUGCUGGGAAGACCAUAUGCAUAGAGUACGUCCAAAGAGGACUUGGUUGCCCGUUAAAUCUGUUGGAUCUGGUACUCAUGUGAAAGGAAAGGUACCAUUGGUUGUCUGUGUCACACGUUUGGUUGCUUAGAAAGGUCUUCAUUUGAUCCGCCAUGCUAUUAAACAUGUUGAAGAACUAGGCGGACAGAUGGUUGUGCUGGGAAGAGCUUCAAAUGGUCAAGUGGAAAAGGAAUUUGAAAGCCUUGCGACUUUGGUAAUGACCACAAUCACUUGAAAGUCGUACUCUGAAUUUUCUAAAAAUUGAAUAUUAAUUUGAAAUAUUCGAAUAGUGAAACAAGCUUACUCUGUAAUUAAUUCAGUCGGACCAUGAUAUCUUAUUUUUAACAUCCUUUAUGUGGUCUUGCUUAUGAAACUUAUAUGUUUGAAGCUGUUAAGAUUAAUUAAUUUUUGUUUUAUGAUUAUUGAGAAUCAGGAAUGAGAGAAGUGGUUGUUCUUUUACCUUCUAGGCACUUAAGCACUUAAACUGGGCUACGUUAUUGCAAACUUCUCCUUCGUUUUCAUUACAUAGCUACAUAAUUCAUACAUUUUUCA
Long non-coding RNA from Chenopodium quinoa (quinoa), 1018 nucleotides. RefSeq lists it as uncharacterized. Lineage: Eukaryota; Viridiplantae; Streptophyta; Magnoliopsida; Caryophyllales; Amaranthaceae. The record is from RefSeq and is a predicted model, not a curated record. The transcript has 3 exons.